This 74-nucleotide transfer RNA is filed under the name Flavobacteriales bacterium. RNAcentral describes it as "tRNA-Arg". It matches the Rfam family "tRNA". From Rfam's summary of the family: Transfer RNA (tRNA) molecules are approximately 80 nucleotides in length. Their secondary structure includes four short double-helical elements and three loops (D, anti-codon, and T loops). The record is from RNAcentral. Lineage: Bacteria; Pseudomonadati; Bacteroidota; Flavobacteriia; Flavobacteriales.
GGCCUCGUAGCUCAACUGAAUAGAGCAUCUGACUACGGAUCAGAAGGUUUCAAGUUUGAAUCUUGACGAGGUCA